UAUAAUAUGGCGGAGGUGAACGCGAAUGCUCUAAGAUCAUUUUACGAAAGAAUAAUUUCUAUUAUAU
Molecule: transfer RNA, 67 nt
Filed under: Styela plicata
Lineage: Eukaryota; Metazoa; Chordata; Ascidiacea; Stolidobranchia; Styelidae
Description: transfer RNA-Leu (UUR)
Source: RNAcentral